ACAACUUUCAGCAACGGAUCUCUUGGCUCUCGCAUCGAUGAAGAACGCAGCGAAAUGCGAUWAGUAAUGUGAAUUGCAGAAUUCAGUGAAUCAUCGAAUCUUUGAACGCACCUUGCGCUCCUUGGUAUUCCGAGGAGCAUGCCUGUUUGAGUGUCAUUA
Molecule: ribosomal RNA, 159 nt
Filed under: Hebeloma sacchariolens
Lineage: Eukaryota; Fungi; Basidiomycota; Agaricomycetes; Agaricales; Hymenogastraceae
Description: 5.8S ribosomal RNA
Rfam family: 5.8S ribosomal RNA
About the family: 5.8S ribosomal RNA (5.8S rRNA) is a component of the large subunit of the eukaryotic ribosome. It is transcribed by RNA polymerase I as part of the 45S precursor that also contains 18S and 28S rRNA.
Source: RNAcentral